RNAcentral lists this ribosomal RNA (253 nucleotides) under uncultured bacterium. RNAcentral describes it as "partial 16S ribosomal RNA". It matches the Rfam family "Bacterial small subunit ribosomal RNA", at positions 524 to 776 of the family's 1533-position model. The record is from RNAcentral.
UACGUAGGGGGCAAGCGUUGUCCGGAAUCAUUGGGCGUAAAGCGCGUGUAGGCGGCUGGCUAAGUCCGCUCUGAAAGCCCGGGGCUCAACCCCGGGAGGCGGGUGGAUACUGGUCAGCUCGAGUCUGGAAGAGGAGUGUGGAAUUCCUGGUGUAGCGGUGAAAUGCGCAGAUAUCAGGAGGAACACCAAUGGUGAAGGCAGCACUCUGGGACGGUACUGACGCUGAGACGCGAAAGCGUGGGGAGCAAACAGG